AUACGGAGGAUGCGAGCGUUAUCCGGAUUUAUUGGGUUUAAAGGGAGCGUAGGUGGGAUAUUAAGUCAGCUGUGAAAGUUUGGGGCUCAACCUUAAAAUUGCAGUUGAUACUGGUUUCCUUGAGUACGGUAUGGGUGGGCGGAAUUCGUGGUGUAGCGGUGAAAUGCUUAGAUAUCACGAAGAACUCCGAUCGCGAAGGCAGCUCACCGGGCCGGAACUGACCCUGAUGCUCUAAAGUGCGGGUAUCAAACAGGAUUAGAUUCCCUGGUAGUCCGCACAGUAAACGAUGAAUACUCGCUGUUUGCGAUACACGGUAAGCGGCCAAGCGAAGGCGUUAAGUAUUCCACCUGGGGAGUACGCCGGCAACGGUGAAACUUAAAGGAAUUGACGGGG
Molecule: ribosomal RNA, 393 nt
Filed under: uncultured bacterium
Lineage: Bacteria
Description: partial 16S ribosomal RNA
Rfam family: Bacterial small subunit ribosomal RNA
Source: RNAcentral